Long non-coding RNA from Mya arenaria, 381 nucleotides. RefSeq lists it as uncharacterized. NCBI's taxonomy places the organism in Eukaryota, Metazoa, Mollusca, Bivalvia, Myida, Myidae. The transcript is spliced from 3 exons. The record is from RefSeq and is a predicted model, not a curated record.
CACUUAUACAACCGAAAGCAUAUUUUAUUGACACACAGAACAGUGAUCGCAUGCCCUGGAGAGCGUUUACACUCUAAUCUCCAAACAUGUACAAGUUUUUCAUCGUGCUUCUUCUUGUCAGCUGCCUUUCAGUGACAUUGCUGCCAGCCACCGUUGAGGCCCAGGAUUACGUACAUGGCCGGGACUGUCAGUGCCGAUGGCGCUGUGGCUUUUUGGAAAUCGACAGGGGGCGCUGUAUAUUCAAUUAUCGCAAGAGACGGUGUUGUAGGAGAACACUAUAUAGAGGCUAGUGAGGUGACGACUGACAAAACAAGCAAACUACAAGUUGUCUUACUCAUUUAUUUUAUGUUUGUGAUGUAAAUAAAGUUUCGUUAUAAUGGA